RNAcentral lists this ribosomal RNA (468 nucleotides) under uncultured bacterium. RNAcentral's name for it is "partial 16S ribosomal RNA". It matches the Rfam family "Bacterial small subunit ribosomal RNA", at positions 28 to 507 of the family's 1533-position model. The record is from RNAcentral.
GACGAACGCUGGCGGCGUGCUUAACACAUGCAAGUCGAACGGAAAGGCCCUGCUUUUGUGGGGUGCUCGAGUGGCGAACGGGUGAGUAGCACGUGAGUAACCUGCCCUUGACUUUGGGAUAACUUCAGGAAACUGGGGCUAAUACCGGAUAGGAGCUCCUGCUGCAUGGUGGGGGUUGGAAAGUUUCGGCGGUUGGGGAUGGACUCGCGGCUUAUCAGCUUGUUGGUGGGGUAGUGGCUUACCAAGGCUUUGACGGGUAGCCGGCCUGAGAGGGUGACCGGCCACAUUGGGACUGAGAUACGACCCAGACUCCUACGGGAGGCAGCAGUGGGGAAUAUUGCACAAUGGGCGGAAGCCUGAUGCAGCAACGCCGCGUGCGGGAUGACGGCCUUCGGGUUGUAAACCGCUUUCGCCUGUGACGAAGCGUGAGUGACGGUAAUGGGUAAAGAAGCACCGGCUAACUACGUG